UCCUUGGUGGCUCAGAGGUUAAAGCGUCUGCCUGAAAUGCGGGAGAUCUGGGUUCAAUCCCUGGGUCGGGAA
Ovis aries (sheep) is the source of this 72-nucleotide transfer RNA. It matches the Rfam family "tRNA". Rfam says of the family: Transfer RNA (tRNA) molecules are approximately 80 nucleotides in length. Their secondary structure includes four short double-helical elements and three loops (D, anti-codon, and T loops). Further hydrogen bonds mediate the characteristic L-shaped molecular structure. tRNAs have two regions of fundamental functional importance: the anti-codon, which is responsible for specific mRNA codon recognition, and the 3' end, to which the tRNAs corresponding amino acid is attached (by aminoacyl-tRNA synthetases). tRNAs cope with the degeneracy of the genetic code in two manners: having more than one tRNA (with a specific anti-codon) for a particular amino acid; and 'wobble' base-pairing, i.e. permitting non-standard base-pairing at the 3rd anti-codon position. Lineage: Eukaryota; Metazoa; Chordata; Mammalia; Artiodactyla; Bovidae. The record is from Rfam.